ACCCGCUGAACUUAAGCAUAUCAAUAAGCGGAGGAAAAGAAACCAACCGGGAUUGCCUCAGUAACGGCGAGUGAAGCGGCAAAAGCUCAAAUUUGAAAUCUGGCCUCUGGUCCGAAUUGUAAUUUGAAGAAGCGACUCUGGUACCGGCCCUUGUCUAUGUUCCUUGGAACAGGACGUCACAGAGGGUGAGAAUCCCGUGCGAUGGGGUGUCCGGUGCUAUGUAGAGCGUUUUCGACGAGUCGAGUUGUUUGGGAAUGCAGCUCUAAGUGGGUGGUAAAUUCCAUCUAAAGCUAAAUAUUGGCGAGAGACCGAUAGCGAACAAGUACUGUGAAGGAAAGAUGAAAAGAACUUUGAAAAGAGAGUGAAAAAGUACGUGAAAUUGUUGAAAGGGAAGGGCUUGGGAUCAGACAUUGUAUUUCCAUGGCGCUCUUUCGGGGGUGUCCUCUGGGUUUACAGGGCCAGCAUGGGUUCUGCGGGCAAGAUGAGGGUUUGGGGAAUGUGGCUCUGCUUCGGCGGAGUGUUAUAGCCCUGGACACCGGUUGCCACGCGGGACCGAGGAUUGCGAAUCUAGGAUGCUGGCAUAAUGAUCUUAAGCCGCCCGUCUUGAAACACGGACCAAGGAGUCUAACGUCUAUGCGAGUGUUUGGGUGUAAAACCCGUACGCGGAAUGAAAGUGAACGCAGGUGAGAGCUUCGGCGCAUCAUCGACCGAUCCUGAUGUCUUCGGAUGGAUUUGAGUAAGAGCAUAGCUGUUGGGACCCGAAAGAUGGUGAACUAUGCCUGAAUAGGGUGAAGCCAGAGGAAACUCUGGUGGAGGCUCGUAGCGGUUCUGACGUGCAAAUCGAUCGUCGAAUUUGGGUAUAGGGGCGAAAGA
This 873-nucleotide ribosomal RNA is filed under the name Suhomyces anneliseae. RNAcentral describes it as "LSU rRNA". It matches the Rfam family "Eukaryotic large subunit ribosomal RNA", at positions 23 to 930 of the family's 3401-position model. Lineage: Eukaryota; Fungi; Ascomycota; Pichiomycetes; Serinales; Debaryomycetaceae. The record is from RNAcentral. RNAcentral also lists the same sequence under 1 other name.